This 751-nucleotide ribosomal RNA is filed under the name uncultured organism. RNAcentral describes it as "bacterial SSU rRNA". It matches the Rfam family "Bacterial small subunit ribosomal RNA", at positions 51 to 822 of the family's 1533-position model. The record is from RNAcentral.
ACACAUGCAAGUCGAACGAGAAAGCUCCUUCGGGAGUGAGUACAGUGGCGAACGGGUGCGUAACACGUUGGUGACCUGCCUUGAGGAGGGGGACAACCGUGGGAAACCACGGCUAAUACCCCGGAUGUCUAAACUGUUAGAGGGUUUAGACUAGAACUUCGGUGCCUCAAGAGGGGCCUGCGGGCUAUCAGCUUGUUGGUGGGGUAAUGGCCUACCAAGGCUAAGACGGCUAGGGGGCGUGAGAGCGCGACCCCCCACAAUGGAACUGAGACACGGUCCAUACUCCUACGGGAGGCAGCAGUGAGGAAUAUUGCGCAAUGGGGGAAACCCUGACGCAGCAACGCCGCGUGAACGAUGAAGGCCUUCGGGUCGUAGAGUUCUUUUCUAAGGGAAGAUAGUGACGGUACCUUAGGAAUAAGUCCCGGCUAACUACGUGCCAGCAGCCGCGGUAAAACGUAGGGGGCGAGCGUUAUCCGGAUUUAUUGGGCGUAAAGCGCACGUAGGUGGCGCUGUAAGUUAGACGUGAAAGCUCUCGGCUCAACUGAGAGAGGUCGUUUACAACUGCAGUGCUUGAGGUUAGAAGAGGAGAGCAGAAUUCCCGGUGUACUGGUGGAAUGCGUAGAUCUCGGGAGGAAUACCAGUGGCGAAGGCGGCUCUCUAGUCUACACCUGACACUGAGGUGCGAAAGCGUGGGUAGCGAACGGGAUUAGAUACCCCGGUAGUCCACGCUGUAGACGAUGGAUACUAGGUG